This 484-nucleotide ribosomal RNA is filed under the name uncultured organism. Its description in RNAcentral is "bacterial SSU rRNA". It matches the Rfam family "Bacterial small subunit ribosomal RNA", at positions 28 to 507 of the family's 1533-position model. The record is from RNAcentral.
GAUGAACGCUAGCGGCGGGCCUAAUACAUGCAAGUUGAACGAGAUUGUUGGUAGCAAUACUGACAUGAAAGUGGCGCACGGGUGCGUAACACGUAUGUAACCUACCUUUAACUGGGGCAUAGCUUCGAGAAAUCGAAAUUAAUACCCCAUAACAUUUAGAAAAGGCAUCUUUUCUUUAUCAAAGUUCCGGCGGUUAAAGAUGGACAUGCGGUGCAUUAGCUUGUUGGUGAGGUAACGGCUCACCAAGGCUACGAUGCAUAGGGGGUCUGAGAGGAUGAUCCCCCACACUGGUACUGAGACACGGACCAGACUCCUACGGGAGGCAGCAGUAGGGAAUAUUGGGCAAUGGACGAAAGUCUGACCCAGCCACGCCGCGUGAAGGAUGACUGCCCUAUGGGUUGUAAACUUCUUUUGUAUGGGAAGAAAAUUCCGAACGUGUUCGGAGCUGACGGUACCAUAAGAAUAAGCAUCGGCUAACUCCGUG